This is a long non-coding RNA of Lolium perenne, 2601 nucleotides long. RefSeq lists it as uncharacterized. The record is from RefSeq and is a predicted model, not a curated record. Lineage: Eukaryota; Viridiplantae; Streptophyta; Magnoliopsida; Poales; Poaceae.
GCGGCGCAGCGUGGAUUUUGGCAACUAAGGCAUGAUUAGCGGCGGGCGGACUACAUCGAGCGAUGUAGAUUUCGGACUUCGGCGGAUUGAGGUCUGGUGAGCGAUUGCUGGCCCCGGUGGCUAGGCGAGAGGUCAGAGGUGGAUGGGAUCGGCUGGCUGAAUCGACUCUGUAACAUCAGCGAACUUUGCAGCAUGUUGCCUCGGCGGCUGCGGCGCUGCGGGUAGCAUCCACAACAUGGUGAGCGGCGGGCAGCCUCAGCAUCUGCUGUAGUUUGUUUCACGGUGGGCGGAGCACGCCGGUGGGCAGUGUGUUCUGACGUAAGGUAUGGUGGUGGUGGUUCCUCUUCAGACUUUUUAUCAGCUAACAGGCUGAUCUGCUUGAACUGUACAAUGAGCAUCUUUGUUAUAGCCCAUGGUUCCUUUAUAUUCAAGUGUGUCCUCAUGUAUGCAUCGUGGAUGUCUGAUACGAAUUUGUGCUCCAUUCUGCCACUGGGCUCAUGUGCAUCGCAGCUUGCUGAAGCUGGCUGUGAGCUGCCUCGUGUACCAUUCAGGUUUCUACAGUUUUCAAUCCCUUUUGAUAUGUCUGGCUAUAUUUUCACCCAUGGAAUAUUUGUCUCUGAAUCAACUCAAAUGUUCAUGGAGCAGUUUACAAAAUCGUUCUUUCACUGUCUCGAUCUUGAUGCCAUUUCUUGGUGAAUUUUGCAUUUCCAAAGUAUUGACCUGUUAUCUACAAAAAUAUUUCAGCAAACAUUUGAGAGAAUUUCUUGUGUAUGGCAGCAGAGAAAUUGUUAACAAAAUGAAGAUAAAACGGUAAAACAGGUGAGACAUCGACCAUAAAAAGUGAAGCAUCUGCCUGCUUUGUGCUUUCACAUGAUAUAUCAAGCAACCAAAUGAUCCGUGCACAUAGGAAACAAACUGCCAGACUAGGGCUAACAUAUUUACCAUCGAUUGAAUGCAGAAAUAUGAAAGUGUUGAUAAAGAAAGGUCAUAAGGAAGGUAGUGUAGACGUUUCAACAAUCUUUUGUAAACUAGAUCUGGAGCUAAUUUGGUAGCCAGAGAAGUUCCUCACAAUCUUCUCUUCAGUUAGAGCUGCCAGCUAAUUUUGUGGGUAGGGUAUAUGUACACUUGAUAAAUUAUCCUGAAGAUGAUUUUGGGCUCAUAGGAUCUGACUAGCUUACAAAUCUGUUGAACUGUACUGAUUAUGAUGAUUUUUUUUUGCUCUUAUAGCGAUCAUAUAAUCUUCGUAAUGAUUUAAUUUUUUUCAAAUGAGAUUCUUCUAUUGGCAAUUCUAUUAAGAUUUUUUUUUGACUCUUAUGCUAAUUCUAUGUCCAUUUCGCUGAACGUCUUUUGAUGUUCAGAAUACUAAGGGGAAGUGCCUUGCGCCUGGAGCCGUGGAUACGAAAUGAAAAUUGAACCACAUGAUGUGGUUUGUAGUCCUUGGUGGUGGGACCUCAUUGCUGAUACAGGCUUUUGUAUCUGAAUGUGUGCAAGUCGUGCAACAUAGAUGUGGCAAACUUUGUGAUCUAUAUUCUCGAGAUAUCUCAAACAACAUUCUGCAGUUCGUUUUGGUUUGUGGCAAAGCGGGUGGAAGCGGGGAGUAACGUGGUGGGUGGUGGCUGUGGGCAUCUCUUGGGUGGGAUCGGCAUCUUUCUAAGUGGUUGGGUGGCGUCGGCGGGCACUGGCGCAGGCGGAUCACAUCGGUGGGCUUCGAUGUAAAGGCAUGCGGGUGGUCAAUCUUUCUUUGUUUUACCUUCUAUUGAGGGACCAAGAUGUCUGAGCAUGUGGUCCGGGCUACCUUAGUGACUGAAAAUGUAGUUGCUGGCGAGGAUGUUGCUACACCACCUACUACUUUUACUACAAACAAAACAACACCUAGAGGUUCAGAACCAGUAACAAAUGUUUGUGAAAAUAGGAGCAGGAAGACAGCGAUACCAAGGCUCAUGAAUAUGAGCACUAAGAUGUGGUGUCGAGAUUCGCCAAUCCAGGUUCCCAAGAUUAUUAUUUGCUCGUGAAAUUUGCACCUUUUAAGCAAGAUAUUACAGUCAAAAUUUUAUUUUCCCGUUUCAACUUAUGUCAUAGGUUGUUUUUGCUCAUAACACACCUGAACCAAUUUUAUUGCCCACUAAAUUAUUUUGUUUAACUUUAAUCUAGACGUGUGUAGCCUUCUGUAGUCCAUCUAUCUGAUUCACUUUCCAAUUUUUAUUUUUCCUUGCAAUUUGCUACAUGUUUCAAAACAGUUACAAUUUGUUUCGUUGACUUAUGUAGGUCACCUCUGCAUGUUCCUGUUGUUGGAUUAUCACUUCUCUUUCACAACAGAUCAACUAAAGGAUAUGUAAAUUGGUAAAUAUGAGUAUUUUAUCUCACCCGUUGUGAGGAUCCGGUAGCAGACUGAAGUCGCCAAUCAUGAGGAGUUCCUACCACAGCUAGCGUACUAAAGUUCGUUGCCUUUGUAAUAAUGAGCUAAUGUAUUUCUUUUACUUUCCCUAUUUUUUAUGAUUAAAUAUACUUACUCUAUUGUAUAGUAUUAAUAUUUCAUAACAAUGUAUUGCAUCAAUUGUACACUUGUUUAGUCACGGUUUAUAUGAUACAGUUUGUAGGAAA